GACGAACGCUGGCGGCGUGCUUAACACAUGCAAGUCGAACGGAAAGGCCCUGCUUUUGUGGGGUGCUCGAGUGGCGAACGGGUGAGUAACACGUGAGUAACCUGCCCUUGACUUUGGGAUAACUUCAGGAAACUGGGGCUAAUACCGGAUAGGAGCUCCUGCUGCAUGGUGGGGGUUGGAAAGUUUCGGCGGUUGGGGAUGGACUCGCGGCUUAUCAGCUUGUUGGUGGGGUAGUGGCUUACCAAGGCUUUGACGGGUAGCCCGCCUGAGCGGGUGACCGGCCACAUUGGUACUGAGAUACGGCCCAGACUCCUACGGUAGGCAGCAGUGGGGAAUAUUGCACAAUGGGCGGAAGCCUGAUGCAGCAACGCCGCGUGCGGGAUGACGGCCUUCGGGUUGUAAACCGCUUUCGCCUGUGACGAAGCGUGAGUGACGGUAAUUGGUAAAGAAGCACCGGCUAACUACGUG
RNAcentral lists this ribosomal RNA (468 nucleotides) under uncultured bacterium. RNAcentral's name for it is "partial 16S ribosomal RNA". It matches the Rfam family "Bacterial small subunit ribosomal RNA", at positions 28 to 507 of the family's 1533-position model. The record is from RNAcentral.